Sus scrofa (pig) is the source of this 2775-nucleotide long non-coding RNA. RefSeq lists it as uncharacterized. The record is from RefSeq and is a predicted model, not a curated record. Lineage: Eukaryota; Metazoa; Chordata; Mammalia; Artiodactyla; Suidae.
GACUCUGUGACCCCGCUCUCUAGGAUGUCUGAAGACCUUCCCUCAGGCCUGUGUCUUAAAUAGGAACGAAUUCAUUUCCAUUUUCUGAAUGUUCCCUCUUUCCACUUCUGUUUCUGCUUUUCACUUUGCACUCUCCAAAUGGGUUAGGGCAACAUUUCUCAGCCAUAUCUUUUUCACUAUUGCCUUCCCUUCCUCUCUCUACAGAGCAUUUUUAGAUUUUUUUUUCCUUAUUGUUCCCCCAUGAAAUUAUGUAAACACAGGCAUACUGUGUAUCUAUUUAUAUAGUCCAUGGAUAUCUCUAUUUUUUCAGUAAAAAAAAAAAGUACAAAACUUACUCUUUGUAUUCACUGGACAGUUAAAAAUGACACAAAAUUUGUAAACUACGAAUGAAAUGUAAAAGCUAUUGAAUUUUAAUUUGCCUUUAUACCUAAAUCUUGCAAACUAAGUUGGCAGAGUGACUUUUAGGGUAAUAUAUUGACUUACAUAUAUAAGAAUGUAUUAAAUUAUGUACUCAACAUUCAUGUAGAUGAUAACACCAAAGUAUGGAUAUAUUUUUAAAAAAUCAUUCAAGACUGGUCAAAAUCAUUGAAAGACUUAAAUUAUUUUCUUAAUAUUUGUUUUUAGCCUUUAAUUUUAAUUUUGCUUCAUAUUAGAAAAUAUUUUUUAACUUCACUGGCUAAUAGACAUACAGAUAUUUUCAAAUUUUUUCUGUUUAGCAUUGACAUAAUUAUUGAUGUGUUGAAUGACUUUAGAGGAAUUAAAUAAUGAAAUGUAACCAUAUUUGUAUUUAAUGUACAGAUAUAAUUUGAUGUUUGUAUUUACCUCCCAUAGCCUGAAUCACACUGAGACUCAAACAUAAGCCACAUCUACGAGACAGCCAAUGGAAGCUCAUAAGAGACUCUGCAACGUGAGAUCUGAAGCAGGCUCUCGCCGGAAUCCCACCACGCUGACACCCUCAUCUUGGAUUUCCUGGCUCUAGACCAGUGAGCCAUACAUUUCUGCUCUUUACAAACUACCCAGUCUUUGCUCUUCUGGGGACGAAGCAAGAAUAGACCAAGACAUGACCUGAACUAUUUUCUCCUCAGACUACUACUCAGGAGUGUGUAAAAUACCUAAAUGGAGAGAAACCAUGUGGCCCAACCUCAUCUCCUAGGGAAAAAGGCAACAACUUGUAAUGUGUCUACAUAUAUGGAUACUUCCCUCCUUAGCCUAUGCCUUUGGGGAUCAACUUGAAUCAUUCUUUCAGAAUCAGUGCCGCUAGAGCUCCUAAUGAGAAGCAGCCAGGCAGGUAUUCAGAGCAUCUGGAGAACGUCUCCUAUGGCCAGACAUCUGCAUCAGCAAGCUCACUGGGGACCUGCCAGGCUCUUCACUGGUGACAUGGAGGAUGAUGGUCUCCAGCCCCGUCUGCAGACUUAGCUGUGACCUGGCCCAGAUCCAUGGCCUGCCAAAGCAGGAGACCCCCACAGUUCUGCACCUAAUGGGGAGAGUCCUCCUUGUUUUCCUGCCUGAAGGACAGGAAUGCUUUGGGGUUCCCCAAAAGCUGAACAGCAGCCAGUUCCAAAAAACUCAGGCCACCUCUUUCUCCAUGAGAUGAUCCAGCCGAGCUUCAACUUGUUUGGCACAAACAGCUGAAAUUCUUCACUGGGCUUGAUCAGCAGGAGGAAGCUCUGCAGACCAGUUUGGUGCAGUAGCCUGGGGAAGAAAAGACCUUCCUGGAAAUGAGGACUCUAGCCUGACUUUGAAGAAGUCCUUUUGAAGGACCAGGUUACAUCUGAAAAGAAAGUAUAGCCGCUGUGCGUGGGACAUCGUCAGACUGGAAGUUAAGCAAGGGAAUCUCUCCCCAAAGCUGUAUCUUCUGAAACUGACCCUCCAUGAGGAAUUGGACCCUGGAACAGCCAUGGUGAGUCUUGGGAUGUCUAAGAGAGACUUUCUUUUAUAAAAUGAUAUAAGGUCUGAAUGUGAGAAUGGAGGUGGGAAUGGGGAUGGGCCAAAGGUCCAUCUCUUCUCAGGCAGAUAGGUUCUGUGCAAGCAUGUGUACCAGUGUUGACCAUGUUAAAAAUUUGCUAAAUGAAGUAUUUAAAUAAUUUGAACUCUUUAAUAAAUAUUAAACAUGGAUUACCUUCUUAAUAAUUUAAAAUACAAUUUUUGACUUAGGAAAAGUGGAAUUUUCCUAGUCAUGUCAUUACGAAAUUUUGCAUAAUUAUUGAUUUCAUAUUAGCACAAUGAAAUAAUAAACUCAGACAACAAAUUGAGAGACACUUUCUUUGAUACCUUUCACAAGCACAUUGAUUAGAUCUUCAUAUGGCUAAACAAUUUCUAGUAACUUUAAACAGGUACAGAAGUAUAAUGUACUAAGAAACAGGUCUUCAGAUCAAAAUAUUGCGAAGUGUAAAACAAAAAUGUUGAAUGUUUAAUAAGUCUGGAUUUAUUAACAAAUCCUUUCUUAUCAGGCCUGUCACAGAGUUUUUAAGCACACCUAUUUUUGUAUUAAGGUAUUUGUAGAUUUACUUAGAAACCAGGCAAAAUGACCUCGUGCCUUAAGGAGAUUUGUCCCUGAGCAGAUUAAAAUGUAUAAAAACAUGCCUUCAUUCUAGCCUCUUGGAUGAUAGGAAGAAAAUAAAAUUAACGUAAUUUUGAAAUAGGAAUUGAAGAAGCUCUUUAUUAACAAGUUGAAAACUCAGGAAUUAAAGAAAUAUUUUGACUAUCAAAAUGCUGAACCUGACUGCCUUUCACUGGCACGUGCUUAUAAAUGGCAGAAAUGUAUUUGUCACAGUU